This 338-nucleotide long non-coding RNA is filed under the name Citrus maxima (pomelo). Its description in RNAcentral is "long non-coding RNA (CMAX_LNC002140)". Lineage: Eukaryota; Viridiplantae; Streptophyta; Magnoliopsida; Sapindales; Rutaceae. The record is from RNAcentral.
GGGGUAAGAAAUAAAAAUUUAUUUGUGAGGGUGUUCAUGACAAGGCUGCUCGUGUUGUAGCUAGGGUACAGGGGAUGUGGUCUAAUUUCCAUCGUUGUGGUGGGAAAUCUGGGCAGGAUAUUUUAAUUGAUUCUAAUUUUGUGGUUAGGGUCUGGCAGCCGCAUAUUCAUGGGGUGGUUUGAGCUUUAACACCGAUGCAGCUAUUGAUGUUUUAAGCUUGGGAAGGUUGGUUUUGCAGCUGUAGUGCAUAAUCAAGAUGGUGUGCUUAUGGUAUCAGCGAUUGAUUGUUGUGUGUUAUCCAAAUGAUGCUAAUAUAGAUGAGGCGGAAGCUUAUACUU